RNAcentral lists this ribosomal RNA (326 nucleotides) under uncultured eukaryote. RNAcentral's name for it is "partial 18S ribosomal RNA". It matches the Rfam family "Eukaryotic small subunit ribosomal RNA", at positions 1470 to 1796 of the family's 1831-position model. The record is from RNAcentral.
CCCUUAGAUGUUCUGGGCUGCACGCGCGCUACACUGAUGCACUCAACGAGUUUACGACCUUGCCCGAUAGGGUUGGGUAAUCUUUUUAAAAUGCAUCGUGAUGGGGAUAGAUUAUUGCAAUUAUUAAUCUUCAACGAGGAAUUCCUAGUAAGCGCGAGUCAUCAGCUCGUGCUGAUUACGUCCCUGCCCUUUGUACACACCGCCCGUCGCUCCUACCGAUUGAGUGCUCAGGUGAAUAAUUCGGACUGCAGCAAUGUUUGGAUCCCGAACGUUGCAGCGGAAAGUUUAGUGAACCUUAUCACUUAGAUGAAGGAGAAGUCGUAACA